RNAcentral lists this unclassified non-coding RNA (369 nucleotides) under Hevea brasiliensis (rubber tree). Lineage: Eukaryota; Viridiplantae; Streptophyta; Magnoliopsida; Malpighiales; Euphorbiaceae. The record is from RNAcentral.
UUCUGGAAAUGUACAUCUGGAGUCACCCUAGGUGGAUUGACUUUAGGGAAGCUCCUAACAACAUCAAGGACUCUGUCAAUGACCUGUUCCUUUGUGAGAUGAUGAUCAUGCGACGACAUUAACCGGAUAGAACUAGAGAAGCUCCAUGGCUGAGAUUUGAAUCCGGCUAGGGCCAGCGUUUCUACGGGUACCCGGAAAUGGUGACGGAGGGCUGCUCUCAUUGCCAUAUCUACCUUCCUCUUCUCAAUUUGGUUGAUUUGGGCAGUCGCAGUAAUAAACACCCAACUAGACCUGAUAACCGGCCGGUACCCGCGGCCUUGGCUUGAGCCGGGUUUAGACAAGGGUCAGGUGGUCUGGCGUGAGAUUGGC